UUAAUUUUCAUUCGAAAAUUUGGUCGUCAGACAAUGUUUUCUAGACUGCAAGUUUUUUUGUUCUGGUGCUAGCGGCAGGCUGACGCGGACGGUUGCUGCCAACCGCCUGCGGCUGCCGAAGCGAAAGGUUUGUUUGGUUCACACGGGGUGGACACUUCUUGGCCCCCCGGAGAGGGCCGCGGAGUGCAUGUUUGGUUGGGUAAUGAUCCUUCCGCAGGUUCACCUACGGAAA
Molecule: unclassified non-coding RNA, 232 nt
Filed under: uncultured fungus
Lineage: Eukaryota; Fungi
Description: sequence contains ITS1
Source: RNAcentral